Myotis brandtii (Brandt's bat) is the source of this 233-nucleotide long non-coding RNA. RefSeq lists it as uncharacterized. The record is from RefSeq and is a predicted model, not a curated record. Lineage: Eukaryota; Metazoa; Chordata; Mammalia; Chiroptera; Vespertilionidae. The transcript is spliced from 2 exons.
CACAGAGGACACGUCAUGCUGCGUCUACGUCAUCCAACCCUCUUAGCCCAAACAGACUAAGACAGAAGGUGUCCAGCUGGAUUUUUAAAUCUUCCGAGAUGAUGAUACUACUUGGGGGAGAAAGAGAUGGCCCAAGUACCUAAAUCCCCAUGACUGUGGAGGAGUUCCUUGAGAUUGAUGGAUGGUAGCAGAGUCAGUGUUUGAAAUGUGAGGAAUAAAAGUUAUUCCAUGCA